RNAcentral lists this long non-coding RNA (375 nucleotides) under Carica papaya (papaya). RNAcentral describes it as "long non-coding RNA (CPAP_LNC002962)". Lineage: Eukaryota; Viridiplantae; Streptophyta; Magnoliopsida; Brassicales; Caricaceae. The record is from RNAcentral.
GACCUUUUCCUUGACGACCCACCAUCAUUUGACUUCUUCCACUACCUUCGUACCAAUCCAUGGCUUCCUUCAUCCUUCAUCUUUGACAUCACAACAGGUUUGUGGUAGUAUGCACUAGAUAGGUCAAAACCAUCAUUCCAUCUUCCUCGGUUCUUCUUUUAUUAGGCACUAGACAACUUCAUAUUCAUUAUAGAUGAGACAUGAUUUUAACUUAAAUAUAUCUAUAUAUCUAUGUGUAUAUAUAUAUAUAUAUAUGUUCAUAUGUUGAUAAAUAAAUAUAGUUCUCCUUAUAUAAUAUUAUAAAUAAAAAAAUAUAGGAAUAAAAACAUAGAAAUAAAGUAAGAUGGUUGACAAAGUUAUUAAAACAGUGUAAAU